This 468-nucleotide ribosomal RNA is filed under the name uncultured bacterium. Its description in RNAcentral is "partial 16S ribosomal RNA". It matches the Rfam family "Bacterial small subunit ribosomal RNA", at positions 28 to 507 of the family's 1533-position model. The record is from RNAcentral.
GACGAACGCUGGCGGCGUGCUUAACACAUGCAAGUCGAACGGAAAGGCCCUGCUUUCGUGGGGUGCUCGAGUGGCGAACGGGUGAGUAACACGUGAGUAACCUGCUCUUGAUUUUGGGAUAACUUCAGGAAACUGGGGCUAAUACCGGAUAGGAGCUCCUGCUGCAUGGUGGGGGUUGGAAAGUUUCGGCGGGUGGGGAUGGACUGGCGGCUUACCGGCUUGUUGGUGGGGGAGUGGCUUACCAAGGCUUUGACGGGUAGCCGGCCUGAGGGGGGGACCGGCCAAAUGGGGACUGAGAUAGGGCCCGGCCCCCUACGGGGGGCAGCGGGGGGAAUUUUUGCACAAUGGGCGGAAGCCGGUGGCGGGAACGCCGGGUGGGGAAUGACGGCCUUCGGUUUUUAAACCGCUUUCGCCUGUGACGAAGCGUGAGUGACGGUAAUUAGUAAAGAAGCACCGGCUAACUACGUG